This 887-nucleotide ribosomal RNA is filed under the name uncultured bacterium. RNAcentral describes it as "bacterial SSU rRNA". It matches the Rfam family "Bacterial small subunit ribosomal RNA". The record is from RNAcentral.
GACGAACGCUGGCGGCGUGCCUAAUACAUGCAAGUCGAGCGAAGUUUUUCUGGUGCUUGCACUAGAAAAACUUAGCGGCGAACGGGUGAGUAACACGUAAAGAACCUGCCUCAUAGACUGGGACAACUAUUGGAAACGAUAGCUAAUACCGGAUAACAGUAUUUCUCGCAUGAGAGAUAUUUAAAAGUUGGUUAUGCUAACACUAUGAGAUGGCUUUGCGGUGCAUUAGCUAGUUGGUGGGGUAAAGGCCCACCAAGGCGACGAUGCAUAGCCGACCUGAGAGGGUGAUCGGCCACACUGGGACUGAGACACGGCCCAGACUCCUACGGGAGGCAGCAGUAGGGAAUCUUCCGCAAUGGGCGAAAGCCUGACGGAGCAACGCCGCGUGAGUGAAGAAGGAUUUCGGUUCGUAAAGCUCUGUUGUUAGGGAAGAAUGGAUAUGUAGUAACUAUACAUGUAAGAGACGGUACCUAACCAGAAAGCCACGGCUAACUACGUGCCAGCAGCCGCGGUAAUACGUAGGUGGCAAGCGUUGUCCGGAAUUAUUGGGCGUAAAGCGCGCGCAGGUGGUUUAAUAAGUCUGAUGUGAAAGCCCACGGCUCAACCGUGGAGGGUCAUUGGAAACUGUUAAACUUGAGUGCAGGAGAGAAAAGUGGAAUUCCUAGUGUAGCGGUGAAAUGCGUAGAGAUUAGGAGGAACACCAGUGGCGAAGGCGGCUUUUUGGCCUGUAACUGACACUGAGGCGCGGAGCGUGGGGAGCAAACAUGAUGAGAUACCCUGGGUGAUCCUGGGGCGAAUUCCACGUGGAUAUGUAGCUUAUCGAUUCCGUCGAGCUCGAGGGGGGUCAAAAUAAACUGCUUUUGUUCCUUUUGUGACUGUUUACUAUA